Molecule: ribosomal RNA, 383 nt
Filed under: Cobetia sp.
Lineage: Bacteria; Pseudomonadati; Pseudomonadota; Gammaproteobacteria; Oceanospirillales; Halomonadaceae
Description: bacterial SSU rRNA
Rfam family: Bacterial small subunit ribosomal RNA
Source: RNAcentral
CAACUGAAGAGUUUGAUCAUGGCUCAGAUUGAACGCUGGCGGCAGGCUUAACACAUGCAAGUCGAGCGGAAACGAUCCUAGCUUGCUAGGAGGCGUCGAGCGGCGGACGGGUGAGUAAUGCAUGGGAAUCUGCCCGAUAGUGGGGGACAACCUGGGGAAACUCAGGCUAAUACCGCAUACGUCCUACGGGAGAAAGCAGGGGAUCUUCGGACCUUGCGCUAUCGGAUGAGCCCAUGUCGGAUUAGCUUGUUGGUGAGGUAAUGGCUCACCAAGGCGAUGAUCCGUAGCUGGUCUGAGAGGAUGAUCAGCCACACUGGGACUGAGACACGGCCCAGACUCCUACGGGAGGCAGCAGUGGGGAAUAUUGGACAAUGGGCGAAAGC